RNAcentral lists this transfer RNA (82 nucleotides) under Neofusicoccum parvum UCRNP2. Its description in RNAcentral is "tRNA-Ser (CGA) (tRNA-Ser-CGA-2-1)". It matches the Rfam family "tRNA". Rfam says of the family: Transfer RNA (tRNA) molecules are approximately 80 nucleotides in length. Their secondary structure includes four short double-helical elements and three loops (D, anti-codon, and T loops). Further hydrogen bonds mediate the characteristic L-shaped molecular structure. tRNAs have two regions of fundamental functional importance: the anti-codon, which is responsible for specific mRNA codon recognition, and the 3' end, to which the tRNAs corresponding amino acid is attached (by aminoacyl-tRNA synthetases). tRNAs cope with the degeneracy of the genetic code in two manners: having more than one tRNA (with a specific anti-codon) for a particular amino acid; and 'wobble' base-pairing, i.e. permitting non-standard base-pairing at the 3rd anti-codon position. The record is from RNAcentral. Lineage: Eukaryota; Fungi; Ascomycota; Dothideomycetes; Botryosphaeriales; Botryosphaeriaceae.
GGCGCAGUGCCAGAGUUGGUUAAUGGGUGUGACUCGAAAUCACAUGGCUUCGGCCGCGCAAGUUCGAAUCUUGUCUGCGUCG